This 70-nucleotide transfer RNA is filed under the name Dipodomys ordii (Ord's kangaroo rat). It matches the Rfam family "tRNA". Rfam says of the family: Transfer RNA (tRNA) molecules are approximately 80 nucleotides in length. Their secondary structure includes four short double-helical elements and three loops (D, anti-codon, and T loops). The record is from Rfam by way of RNAcentral. Lineage: Eukaryota; Metazoa; Chordata; Mammalia; Rodentia; Heteromyidae.
GGGAAAGUGGCUCAGUGGUAGAGCGCUUGCCUAGCAUGCAUGAAGCCCUGGGUUCGAUUCCUCAGUACCA